GACGAACGCUGGCGGCGUGCCUAAUACAUGCAAGUCGAACGCUUCUUUCCUCCCGAGUGCUUGCACUCAAUUGGAAAGAGGAGUGGCGGACGGGUGAGUAACACGUGGGUAACCUACCCAUCAGAGGGGGAUAACACUUGGAAACAGGUGCUAAUACCGCAUAACAGUUUAUGCCGCAUGGCAUAAGAGUGAAAGGCGCUUUCGGGUGUCGCUGAUGGAUGGACCCGCGGUGCAUUAGCUAGUUGGUGAGGUAACGGCUCACCAAGGCCACGAUGCAUAGCCGACCUGGGAGGGUGAUCGGCCACACUGGGACUGAGACACGGCCCAGACUCCUACGGGAGGCAGCAGUAGGGAAUCUUCGGCAAUGGACGAAAGUCUGACCGAGCAACGCCGCGUGAGUGAAGAAGGUUUUCGGAUCGUAAAACUCUGUUGUUAGAGAAGAACAAGGACGUUAGUAACUGAACGUCCCCUGACGGUAUCUAACCAGAAAGCCACGGCUAACUACGCG
This 508-nucleotide ribosomal RNA is filed under the name uncultured bacterium. RNAcentral's name for it is "partial 16S ribosomal RNA". It matches the Rfam family "Bacterial small subunit ribosomal RNA", at positions 28 to 507 of the family's 1533-position model. The record is from RNAcentral.